UCUCCAUUGCCUCAGCCCAAUUCAAACAUCUCAAAAGGUGACAAGCUGACCUGAAAGAUUUUUAUAACAACGGAGUGAGCAAAAAAUAACUCAACAAGUGACAAAGCAUAUUCAGAACAAAAGGAAUGAUUUCAAACAAGUAAGAUAUCAUAAUACAAGGCAGAAUACAAGAAUUUUCAAGAUACCAUAUCAUUAGAUACAAAAUCAUAUGUGUCAUAUCAUUCAAAACCUAUUUGGUUCAUAACAGAUGGAGCAUAUCAAUAGCGUACGAGAUGUUCCGGAGCAUAUCAAUGGCAAAUAAGACAUUUCAGAACAUAUCAGUUCAUAGCAAAUGGAGCACAGAGUAAUUGGAGCAUAUCAAUAGCGUAUGAAAUAUUCCGGAGCAUAUUAAUGACAUAUGAAACAUUUUGAAGCGUAACAAUAACAGAAUAAACAUUUUGGAGCAUAUCAAUAACGAAUGAAACAUUUCAGAACAUUUCAAUGGUAAGUGAAGCAUUUUGAAGUAUAUAAAUGGCAUAGGAAAUAUUUUGGAGCAUAUCAAUAACGAAUGAAAUAUUUCGGAGCUUAUCAACGGCAUAUGAAAUGUUUCGGAGCAUAUCAAUAACGAAUACGAAACAUAAGCUCAAACGUCGAAUUUUACAUUACAUUCAUAUCAUUCUUAUCCAAAGCACGUAUAGAAACACAUAACCAAAGCUCUGGAUACCAUAUCAAACAUACAGAAGGUGAAGUGGGACCAUAACAUAAUAUGGUACAUCCAUUUCUGAAUGACCACCAAACAUAAGUCUCCCACGUCUGGGAGGUCUCCCACGUUUGGGAGCUCCAUCCACCCACAUCUGAGGGAAGUCAUAAGGGCCGACAGAGCAUCACAGGCUCUAUGCAUAACUCCCUUCACCAUUUCUGGCAAAGGUUCACAAUAUCCCACAAACACUAGAGUACAAUGGGACAGUAUAAACAAUAAAUAGCACAUAUCGGAAGUACACGCGGAACAACAAACGUAUAUGUGCCUUUACGAGUCAAUACGAAGUCAGCAAAAAUCUUUCACAAUUGUAUUCAGAUUUGAAAGGAAACGAAAGCAAGAGCAUUCAAGGAUUUCUAGCAAUCACAUAUAACUCAAUUCAAAUAAAAAGGUUAGAUGAAUUCAAUGUCCAAAGGAAUCAAAUUGGAAUAGGCACAUAUCGAAGGCAAAUGCAGAACAAUGGGAUAUAUAUGUGCCUAUACGAGUCAAUACAAUAUAGCAUAAACAUUACACAAUAGUUUUCAAGAAUGCAAAUAAUUUUAAGGACAAGAGCAUACAAGAAUUCAAAGCAGUAAUAUAAAGCUCAAUUGAAUAGGAAAGCCAAAGGAUAUCAAUUUCCAAAAGAAGGAAACCAGAAUAUGCGAAAUCGACCAAAGCUCGAUUUCUGGCAAAAUUCAAGAGGCACAUUGAACAAAUGAUUCAAACUAUCAAUCAUACUCCAAUUUACUUAGAAAUAUAUCAUUGGAAAGAUAUUUCGAUCUACUUUCAGAUAAAAUAAGCUUCAUAUGAAUUGAACUAUCCAAUAGAGAGUUACAAAUAAUUUGGUAAACAAGGGUCGGAGAACAAAAUCUCUAUUUGGCAUGAUUCAAUAGAUAACUGGGCAUGUGUUUAGACUCCAAAUCUUUCAAUCCAUAUAUCAAAAGAAAGAUGUACGAGUCUAGUUUCUAAUGAAAUCAGUUUUGAAUAAAUCAGAAUUUCCAACAUCGACUUAUAGGCAGCUCGGUAUCAAAAGGUCAGAAAUUACGAUCCCUGUUUUGCAGAAUCUGUAGGCUCAUUUGAAACAGAAGUUUAGGCAAACAAACUUACUCUGAAUUCUAAAAUAAGCUAUCAAAAGAAAGGAUAAUGAAUCUAUAUUCUGAUCAAAUAAGUUUUGUCUAAAUCAGAGGUCAAUACAUGAAGUUAUAACCAUAACAAGGUAGAAAGGUCAGAAUCUCAAAAAUUGCACAGAUUCGAAUCGUUACGUCUAUACAGGAGAUAUAUCAAAUGCAAGGCUAGAACAAUUCAAAGUUCCUUAUAUUCAAAGCAAAUGUAGAGAUAAAAUUGAAGUAAGGAAAGAUCAGGACACUUGAAAUAGGAAAGAUUAGAAAGCUUGCAAUAGGAAGGAUUGGAAUACUUACCUUUCAAAGAUUUUGAUCCGAAGAUCCAAAGAAGGUGUCAGCCCAAAUCCUUCUACUUUUCCUCCGUGUCCUCUCCCUGUUUCAUUUUCUACAUGUCUUCUCUUUUUCCUCCACAACUGCAGCUCAUGCAGAACAUAGAGGCAUAAUCACUUGCUCUCUCUUACUCUCAUUCCUUCGUUUUCUUUUUCAAGCGCAGCUAUCGUAGCCAUUGCCACUACCACUACCACAGUCGUAGCCACGACCGCAGUCCCUUCUACUAUACUACUUCCAUCCUCUC
Molecule: long non-coding RNA, 2410 nt
Filed under: Musa acuminata (dwarf banana)
Lineage: Eukaryota; Viridiplantae; Streptophyta; Magnoliopsida; Zingiberales; Musaceae
Description: long non-coding RNA (MACU_LNC009980)
Source: RNAcentral